Molecule: ribosomal RNA, 253 nt
Filed under: uncultured bacterium
Lineage: Bacteria
Description: partial 16S ribosomal RNA
Rfam family: Bacterial small subunit ribosomal RNA
Source: RNAcentral
UACGAAGGGGGCUAGCGUUGCUCGGAAUCACUGGGCGUAAAGCGCACGUAGGCGGCUUCUUAAGUCAGGGGUGAAAUCCUGGAGCUCAACUCCAGAACUGCCUUUGAUACUGAGGAGCUCGAGUUCGGGAGAGGUGAGUGGAACUCCGAGUGUAGAGGUGAAAUUCGUAGAUAUUCGGAAGAACACCAGUGGCGAAGGCGGCUCACUGGCCCGAUACUGACGCUGAGGUGCGAAAGCGUGGGGAGCAAACAGG